Homo sapiens (human) is the source of this 13188-nucleotide long non-coding RNA. RefSeq lists it as uncharacterized. The record is from RefSeq and is a predicted model, not a curated record. The transcript has 2 exons. NCBI's taxonomy places the organism in Eukaryota, Metazoa, Chordata, Mammalia, Primates, Hominidae.
UCAGCAUCCCAAAGUGCUGGGAUUACAGGCAUGAGCCACUUCGCCUGGCAUCGUUUAUAAUUUUUAAAAGGUCUGUAGAAUAAUAACAGUAACACCUAAUUCCAUCUGCUGAAUGCCUAGCACACUAGGUUCUGUGCGCAUAGGUAUAGUACAUGUCUCCUCUCAUCCACAGAACUAUGUGCUCAACCACCCUGAGCCUCUUAAACCAUUUCCAAGAUAUUCCUGUUUUUAAUUUCUUCGUGUCUAGUGUCAAGGUGUAAUCUUUGAUCUAAAUAGCUUGCUUUUCCUUCUCUCUGUUAACCUCUUCAUCCUCCAUGACUUAGCUUAUAUUACCAGAGUCUGCAUGGUGGCUGUAUUCUCAGUAAGAUCAUUGGGAAAAUAGUCUGAUACUAAUGAAAUAUUUGAAUGAAGAAAAAACAUCAUGUUCUAUCCCAACAUAACUUCUUUUAGUUCCAUACCCUCCAGCUCUUUUCCUCAUGCAUGUGUAUUCUUAUAAAACCACUUGUACUAUUUUGUAUUCUGCUUUUCUCUUACACAGCAUAUUUUUUCAUAUUUCCAUAUAAUUUUCAUAAUUAUCAUUUUCAUCAUAAAAGCAAUGUUAACCCAUUACAGAAAAUAAAUCAACCAUAAUUACUAUCUUGAUGACACUUAACUGCUUUUUUUCCCCUAAGUACUCAUGUUACAAUUUAAGGUAAAGGGUGGGGGUAUUUAGCUGAGGAAGCCUAGACUGUCACUUUUAAUUUUGAUAAUGUUACUUUUUCACAAGAGUUCCUUCAGAUUCACUUACCCUCUCUGAUCUUUCAUUAUCUCACCUGUAGAAAAGUGUUGAGCUUGAUCAUCUGUAAGAUUAUCUCAAAAGUCCUGUUAAGCUGUAACUAGUCUGUGACUCUAUGAUACUCUGAAUGUUAUAAUCCUCUCUAAUGUUGGUAAUUCUUCACCUUUUUGUGUCAUAUACCCCACUGAGAAUGCGGUGAAAGUUUUGAAUCCUCCUCCAUUUAAAAUUGCCACUCUGCACAAACACAUAUAAUGUUUCAUGCAAUACCAUCUGGGGAUCAAGAAUCUUUUGCCCUAAGCACAGGAAAGAAAAAUUUAUGGAAAUGACAUAGAAUUCAGAAAGUAUUCCCCACCUAACAGGUGGGAGACUUUAUGUGGCUUAUUUUACUCUAAUAUUAUGCAACCAAGAAAGUAGAAAAUUGGAAGAUAUUCUGAAAAGCAUGUAUAAAACACAUUGCAAGGUUACAUAAAAUAGUGACAAAAAUGAGUUCAAUAUAUCUGGAUCUGAUCUGAUUAUUUAGUUUAGGAGAAUCGCUGUUGUCAAAGAUGGUGACUCUGGAAAUGCUAAACUCAGGCUUCUAGAAUGAGAAGGGGAAAAUGGGCAAGGUCACGAUGGUCUAGCUGCUUUUUAAAAAUAUGUAUUAAGGGAUUGAAUAUGUUUCCUAGCUUCACUGUAUAUUAUUAGAAAAUCUAUCUGUGAAAUUGGUUGUUCGAGAUUUCGUUUUCUGUGCGUAAGUGGCUGUUCAGAUGCUUACAUGCUGUCUUAAUACCGAAGAUGCCAUCCUUUUUUCCAGGGCCCUCUUCUUACAUGGGAAGAUAGUGGAUCCUACUUUAAAAUGCGAUUAUAGUGGGGAAAUAAUAUAAUGUUGAAUGUGAGCCAUUGAACACAAAUUGCAUUUUAUGGCUAUAGUUAAAUGGCUCAGGAUUGUUCUGCUGAGUUAAGGGAGGUGGGAGGAAGUAGUUUUAGGAAAAAAAUAUGAAGCAUCUUACUUUUAAAAAAAUGCAGAUUGUGUUUGCUUUGUGAUUUUGAUGUUUAAAGGAGUGUCAUGAGUAUGCUUCAGCUUUGGAAGUGUCCAGGUUGAGAUGAGAGAGAGGAAUGUUAGACAGCCCUUUUCCUGAGGGAUUCUGAAGUCAAAACUACUUGGUGGAUUCUUCUGAGAGAGGCCUAUGCCGUGGAAUCCCAAGUUGGAUUAAAUUAUGGUGAAAAAAGGACAAUAAUCCCACAGUGGGAUAUCUUCCAUUGUCCGUGCAAAACCCUUCUAUAUUAACAUUCUUGCAAUACUGCAGGACUGGAUAAAGACAAGGUAUUCGUAUAUCUGGAUUCACCUAAAUAUGUGUUUGUUCAGUGACCCCAUUGGCUCCUCGUCAGCCCUGAGUGCUAUUCAUAUGACAAAUACUGUGUGGGUGCUUCUGUGUUUAUAAACUCAUUUAAUCCCCUUAACACGCCUAUGAGAUAGUUACCUUACUAUUAUUAUCCCUCAUUUUUAAACAGAUAAGGAGACUAUCUUAAAAUUUUUAACACAAUUUGCUUAAGUUGACACAAGUAAAUGGGAAAACAGAGCUUUGAACUCAGGAUGUCGAGCUGCAGAACCUGCUUUCUUAUCCAGAGGGGUUGAAGAAGGAUCACAUUAAUGGUUGCUUUUAUUUUUUGUUCAGUUGGGGGAAUUUUGAAUUGCUAGACUAUUUAGGAAAACAUCUUUAUUGGGAUUAUUAGUAAGUGUGAUCCAGGCAGAAAGUCAUGAAGCUAAUAUGAAAUAAUGAAAUCAGUGCAUAGUUUAUUUAUUUUAUUUUUGUUUUUGAGAUGGAGUCUCGCUCUGUUGCCCAGGCUGGAGUGCAGUGGCGUGUCUCGGCUCACUGCAACAUCUGCCUCCCGAGUUCAAGCGAUUCUCCUGCCUCAGCUUCCUGAGUAGUUAGAGGCACGUGCCACCAUGCCCGGCUAAUUUUUGUAUUUUUAAUAGAGAUGGGGUUUCACCAUGUUGGCCAGAGUGGUGUCGAAUUCCAGACCGCAAGUGAUUCUCCCACCUCUGCUUCCCAAAGUGCUGGGAUUACAGGCAUGAGCCACCGUGCCCGGCCCAUAGUUUAUUCCUUGAAUUGAAUGGUUACUUAUUGAAUGCUUAUGAUAUCCCAGGCCCUAGGGACAGAAAGAUGAUUAAAGGCUAGGUCUCAAUCCCUGAGGAGCUCUCUGUCUGGGAGAAGCAGAUAUACAAAUCAACAGGUACACAGAGUCACAUAUACAGAUGCCAUGAGGGCACUGGGGAUGAACACGUGUUCUUUGUUUCACUUAUAUUUCGAGAAUGCAUAUAUAUUUUUGAUAAGUAAAAUAGACACAUGCUAUAUAGUUAUACACUGAAAGUGUGUAUGUGUACAUCAUAGUUUCAUUAAUUUUUCUUGCCAGACAACCAGAUGAUUCUUUAUUAAUCUUUGAAGUUUAAUAACCUUACUAAGAUAUAGCUCUUCCCCCUGCCCCCCAGAGAUACAGCAUGCCUUUUUAGUCUGUAGACUACAGAGGACAAAGAUCAUGUUAUUCAUAAGGGGAAAUCAAGAAUUCAAGUGCUUUGGCAGUUUCAAGUGCUUAAGGAAAAAAAUGCUGAAAUUUUGAGGUGUCUCUAGAGGGUAAAGAGGAAUAAGGAGAGGGACCACUAUCAUGUGGACAGAGUAGACAGUUUUAAAUGUGAUGAAUUUUUUUGGAUUUAGGGAUUGCUCCCCAUGCCAAAAAACCCCUACGGGCACACCUCCUAGCCCAGCUAAUUUAAAACAAACAAACAAACCAACAAAAGAAUUUUUUUUUUUUUUUUUUGUUAGAGAUGGUAUCUCACUUUGUUGCCCAGACUGGUCUUGAACUACUGGCUUCAAGCAGUCCUCCUGCUUUUAUCUCCCGAAGUUUUGGGAUUACAAGGAUGAGCCACUGCACCUGUCCAGAAUCCUUUUUCUCAUGGAAUAUUAAACUAAGAUAUUAUUUCUCUGAGCAGUCAUCUUUUAAAACUCAAGUGGAUCUGGGAGAGGCUACUAAAUGAUGAUGAGAUGAUGAUGGUAACAUUAUGAUGUUUUAAAAUAGUACAUAGCUGCACUGUGUCUCAGGCACAGAUCUACAGUGGCUUUCCAAGUACAAGUAUUAUCUCACUUAAAAACAGCUGUCCUAUGAGUGUCCUCAUUUUGCAGAUGAAGAGAUUUUGGCUUAAUAGAUUUACAUAACUUUUUCAUGGUUACAUGACUAGUAAAUGGCAGAGCCAGGAUUCAAACCCUGAUAGUAUGACUCUUACCCCCACUGCAUAUAAAGUUGUCAUUAGAUACUUGCCACCUGGAAUCAUGAAUUGACUCCUUUCCUGUAUCCUCUAUGACAGCAAACUGAGAGAAGGUCCCUGCUUAGUUGGAAUUCUGAUGGAGGUUGAGGGAAAAGAAGAAGGAGAAAGGUUAUCAGUCCUUGGAUGUUGGGGGCGUGGGGGUGGUCAGAGUUUAGGAAGGAGUACAGUAGAAGAAAAGUAAGAUGGGAAGGCAUUGGCCUACUCACCUGCUUUCCAGUUUGGGCUAGAAGCAGUCUCAGGUAUGAGAAAAGAACAUGAAAGGGCUACAGAAAAGAACUGAGAAGGAACAGUGUGCAGGUGAGAAUUCAGUUUUGACUCUCCACGUCAGCACGAGUUUGGCCAAUGAUGAAAUGGCGUAAUGAGUGAAAAUCCCUUACUGGCAAAAUCACCAGAAAGUAAAUUCUGUUUUUAGGGGUGCUGUUGUGCUGCUUAGUUCCGUGUAAUCAGGCUACUCUCUUGGGACAGCCAUUGUAAACACUGCCUUCCUGAUAAGGAUAUAGCAAGUUGUAUAGAGUCAAAGCCAAUUUGUUUAACAGAGCCAUUCAGAAGACCCUGUCCAUUUUUUGUUCUUUUAAUGAAGAAAGUAACGUUUUGAAUGUAGUGUUUAUGUAUAGUGACUAUAUUGGAAUAUAAUGUGUAAUGCUUUCAAUAAACCCAGAAACUUUUCCAAAAUAUUGUCUUGGUUCAUAGGAUGUGAUAUGGAAGGAUAGACACCGUCUUAAUAUUUUCCCCCAACAGAAUGUCAAUUCUUAGAGUAGGGGUGGGGCAGGAAAGUGGGCUAUAAAAUCACUGGCUAUAAAAUCAACUUUUCCCCUUUGAAUCUCAGAAUUCAGUGUCUUCUAGGGCAGAUCUCUACUCAUCAUCUCUACCUGAUAUGACCGCACACGUGAGUGCCUGGCACCUGCUCUUUCUCUUGCUCUGAUGACCACUUCCUUUCUGCCCAUCUGUUUUGACCUCGCACCAUUCUGGAGCUUUUAGGAAAGGCAUUUGUAACAAAGGCAGGACCCAGGUCUCCUGGUUUUCAUCUCCGUAUUGUUUUCACUAUAUUAUAAAACCUUCUUUACUUAAAAAAAAAAAAAAGUUUAAAUGUAGCCUAGCAUGCUUAAUGUCCUAUCAGGUUGAUUUAAAAGGGGCCUUUUAUCUGGACAACAGAAAGUUCUGUGUAACAAAAGUAUUUCCAAGGCUUAGGAAAUGCUCUUAUUUCAAGCAAUAUUUGAUACAACAACAUUCUAAGCAAAUAAACAGAUACAUAUCACCUUUUGUAUUUCUGUUUAUCAUUAUUUGACCCAUAACACCCAGUUUUACAGCUUGAUGGCAAAAAAACAAGAUGGCAAAUUCACAACCCUGCAGCAAAAUUAUCAUGUGUUCAGCCUAUUGAUGAUAAGUGAGAGGGCAAACAAACCGAUAAAUUAAGAAUUUAGUAUUAACAAUAAAUCUACUGGGGCUUCAGCCUUCCCUAAUUAAGAAGUCUUAGAGGGAGAUUAGCAUUCUCUGUUGAUGUUUACCUUUGAAAUUUUGAACAAAGCAUUGUAAGCAGAAGAUGCCCUAAGGAGCAUUUUUGGAAAAAUCCCAACAAGUGCAUAGAGCGACACAGAUGAGAUGAUUCAAUUAGCUUGGAUAACACUAUUUCUUCUAAAGUAUCUGAAACAGACUCAUGAAACUCAUAAAAAGCCUUGUAUUUUCUACCAUAUGUGAGAGUUUAAGGGUGCUUAAGAGCCUGCUUUGAAAGGUUUGCUGAAUCUCUCGGUAAAAAUUAUUGCCGGAUUAUAUGGAAAAGAGUCAAUCUAUAGUAUUCUCCAAUUGUCAGUGUCAUCAUGGAAUUUAGAACUGGAAAGAGACUUUAGAACUCUUCAUAUCUGACUCUUUACAAAACAGUGAACUGAUGCGUUGGCUGUUGACUCAGUGAAGUUCCCACGGCUGGCUUUGGCAACAGACCUAGGGCUAGACUAUGUUGCCUGGAAGAUAAAGAAGCAUUCACUGCUCUUCCCAUCCCACUGUAUUGCCUGGCUAGUGUUUGAUCAGCUUUUCAAUGUGCGGUCAAGUUGUUGAUUGAGCUAGUAACUUAUAAGUGAAUUAUCUUUAUGAUUGUGUUCAUUUCUAACCAUGUCCCUGUGCAGUUUACGAACAAUACUAAUCAUAAGCAAAUACUUUCACCUGGGCCCAAUGAUUUUUACCUGUACUGACCAAGUGAACAACUUAGGCUGGCUUAUGCCAGUGAAGUGGUGCUUCUCCCUCCUGACAUGAGACUUCACUGAAGUGACUUGCCAAGAAGAAAUGAGAAGAUGGCACGUGGAGAGUCAUGUGGAUGCUCUUCUCUGCCUCAAGCUCAGCUCUCACGUGCUUGAUCUGUUCUGUCUGUGUCCUUUAAUAUAAAUGUUUAAAUGUUUAAAUGUCAUUGGGUACUUGGUUAUAGGAGGAGGCAGAGCUCUGAGUGGAAUCCAUGAUGGUCCUGAGACCAGAGAUAUGUAUUUUUUUCUUUUCAUGUAUGUAUGUCUUAUAUCCCCAAUUGAGAAUUCUAUCACUGUGAGUGAUACAGCUUCAGAAUCCUGAAGGCUAAGCUAUUAGGUUUGAACAAUAUGAAAUUGCUGGUUUGCAACUAUAUUAUAUCUACAAAAGGGCAAGUUCAUAUAGCUUAACCUAAAAAGUAAAAAUCAAAUGACAUCAGGUAUGUGCAAAAAUGUCAUAAAUGGCUGGUGAAUAUAUAAGAAGUUCAACAUUACUAAGAGCCAAAAAUUGAAAAUUAAAAUAAGAAACCUUUUUUUUACUUCAUCAAAUAGUAAACCAACAAUUAGUCCUAUACUUUCCUGGUUUGAGCAUUGAUUAAUACAACCAGUAAGUAUGCAAAUAUUUAAACUCAGUGUUUUUCACUGAUAGAUAUUUAUAUCAAGGUGCUAGAUUGAUAUGCAUAUAAAUAUUUUUGCACAAAUAUGUUCACAAUUUGUUUAUAACAGCAGAAAAUGGAAAACAAACUAAAUAGCAAUAGGGAACGUAAGUUAAUCAUGCUGUAUCCAUAUUACGUAGUGUUAUAUAAUUAAAAUUACAUAAUUUAUUAAAAUGAUAUUUACCAAGUGUUUUUAAUGACACUGGAAAACAUGUAGAAUAUAAGAAGUGAAUAAUUUCCGAAUAGUAUGUACAAUAUGAUAAUUGUGUAAAAAGCUGUAAACAUAGAAAAGAACAAGAAAAUACACCAAGACAUUGAUAAUGUUUUGACUUUUAAGAAAUAUUUUUUCUUUGCUGUUUUAAUUUUGUUAUGCAAUUAACAUCUAUUUUUAUAUCAUGUAUAUAUUAAUAAUUACAUAUUUACAAGUGUUGUAUACCGAUUUAUAAAGUCAAUAUGCUCCCUGGCCAAAAGGUUAGCAUGUUCACAUGAAAACAUGCACAUAAUGCGUUUCUAACAAGUUCCCAAAUAGUGUUGAUGCUAUAAGUCUGGGGACCACACUUUGAGAAUUACUAAUGUAGAGAAUCACCAUAUGGGGAUAUAUAUCCCAGUGAGUAAAACAAGUUCCUGGUGUCAACAUGUAUCCAUUGCUACUCCCCCCUGCCACAGCCUCUGCUUCCAGGGUCAGAAACUCUUACCAAUGGUCGUUGGAUUUCUUUAAAACAGGGCUGAGUACCAAGUAUAAAUGCUGUCUCGAAGUCACCAGGCUGUAACAAAUUAAAAUUCCUGUCUGUAUCCCUUUCACCUAGCACAGUCCAUGACUUAGGAAAAAAAUGUUCAGUUGUGUUGGUUGGUUUAUGGAAUGGAUUAAGUGGUAAAGAGUACAGUUUUGAAAUCAUAAAAAAUGAAUUGGAAUCUUGGCUCCAUAAACUUACCCUGAUGUGAUGUUGGCCAGAUUAUGUAACCUCUUGCUCCCCGAGUUUGCUCAUCUGUAAAAUAACUUCAUGAGGUUGUUGGAAGAAGUAAAUGAGUUAAUACACAAGUUUUUGAAUAGCACUUAGUAAAUGUUAGCAGCUGUUGUUACUGUCAUAUAGGAUUGCUUGCAUUUUUAAUCUUUUUCAAAAAAGAAGAGUUAUUUGAACACCUAGCCAAAAAGGAAAAAAAAAAAAGAUUGCAACAGCAAACACUUUCAAGAGGGGGAAAUUAUAGUUUUUGUUUUGUUUUGUUUUUGUUUUUUUAAUUUACUAGGGAAACUUGCGGAAAGGACUACAAAGAAAAUAGAAUUCUCUGAAAGUAAUAUGGCAGGUUUUACUGGACAUUUCUGCUUUUAGUGGCUCUAACAGUCCCAGGAUUUACCAACUAGGAGACCUCUCAAAAGCAUAUGAAAGUGUCUUAGUCUUGUUUUGAUUUUUGUAGCCAUAAAAAAUAAACCACAAAGAAGCAUGAAAGUUUUCUCUUUGGCCUCAGUAGAAUUCUUUAACCUUGUGACUUUGUCCUUGUCUCUUUGUGAAUGGUGACAAUACUCACUCCCUUAUAGGUUAGUUGUGAAGAUGAGGUGAGGAAUUAGCAAGGUGCCAGGCACACAGCUGAUUCAGUUUCAAUGUUAAUUCAUUUUAUUUUUCCUCCCCACUUUGCCUUCUGCUCAUCCUGCAGCCCACAUUCCCGUCAUUUUCAAACGUACAGAAGUGAAAACUGUGUUGUCACUAGGAUUGGCAAACUUUUUCAAGAAGUGCUGUAAAAGUUCACAGUCUAAUAAUUUUUCUGAUACUCCCACCAUUAAAAAAACCUAUGCUCUAAGAGUUAAUCCAAAUCGUCAAAAUAUGAAGUCCUCCUUUCUCUUCCAGGACGAGAAGGCUUCAUGAAUAUUUUAUGAUGGCGUCUCUGUUGAGGGAUGAAUCCAUUCCCCUCCUAGGAGAGUUCCAGCAUGCUGUGGGCUGCCAGGACUUAGCCCAGGAGUGUGGUGUUUUACUGAGGCAAAGAGCUGGAUCUUUGGCUCCAGACAGAAACGAGUUUAAAACAUGCCUCUUCAGGUAAGUUGCUAAUUUUCUGAGCCUCAGAGUCCUUAUUUAUAAAAUGGGGUGCUCAAUGAUGACAGCCAUCUAGGGCUAGACAGAAGGUGAAAUGACGUAACAUAUGUAAAGCAUCUAAUUCAUAGUAGGCUCCAAUUAAACAGUGGCCUUUUAUAUACACACACACACAUACACACACACCCCUUAUAUAUGUGAUGUUUUAUAUGUACCAUGUACACACCACUGAGUUCCUUUUGUCAUAUUCUCACACUCUUAUUUCAAGAGACAAAAUAUACCAACAAAUGAGACAGAAGCUACUAAAAGUGCUUUUCAAGCUUUCUUAGCAGUGAAAAGUCUUUUCAACUGCAAUCUUACAUGAAAACAUAUGAAACUUAUGUGAAACAGAGAAAGGGGUAACUGCUGUCCAUGAAAUACAAGGUCCUUUUGUGUUCUAAGUCAGACCCUGCAAAAUCAGAUAGUUCUGAGGUAUAUAAUUUAAAAGCUACUGAACCAUUAUUUUGAAUUCACUCACAUUAAUGAGUGCCCACUACAUGGUAGGAACUGUGCUAGGACUAGACACAAAGACAAGGCAUAGUCCUUCCCGUGAAGGAGUUCAUAGUCUGGUAGACAACCUCUUUGAACUCUUAGAUUCAGCAAUUCUAGAUUCGGUUAAAGUAGUUUUAGGGCAAUAUGCAUGGCAUAAAUGGAAUGUGUAAGUACCUAGGGGAUAGAAAGUUGUGCUUAUCCAUGAACUCAUCUGAGAAGGCUUUCUUUGGUGAUGAUUUGAACAGUUUGAGCCUUGAUUGUCAGGAGCGGAAAUGAAUCCUCGUGUAAACAAAAACCUCUGCAAGACUAUCAAGGACUAAGACAGAAGACUAAGAAACCCUGGUAGGAAACAACAAACAUAUUGCUUAUCACAUUUAUCCUCUUAAAUGGGAAAGACGGAACUAGGAAGCUGGAAAUGAGGUAGAAGGAAAGAGAAAGGACCAGUUGUUUGAUGAUUUGAAAUAAACAUUUUUUAUUAUGAGGAAUAUAGAUUUUUUUAAUUAAGAAAAAGUGCAAUUCAGAAAGAAUGCUAUUGUCCAUCUUGAAGUCUUUAUUGUCUCCCCCACAACUCUUCCCCAGUGUCAACUGCGAAUGGGCAAUCAGGCUGCUGUCCAGGAGAGAGAGGCCCUAGGGUAUGUAAAAUACUGCAGAGAAAUCUACUGUGUCUACAACAGCAACUGGUUCUCUAGGAACCUAAAAAUAGUCAAAACUUCUUUUCAAGUUCAAACUGUCACCAAGAUUAGUUAAUGAACCUUAAUUGGCAAAAUGAAAAUGCUGCGUUAUUUUUUGAGAAGGAUUCUUAGUUAUCAUAUGAAAUUUGUAUCUGGUUCAUAGUAAAGUGUUAUUUAUUAGCCACACUUUAAUGAAUUCCCUAAAAUUUGUUGCUGAAUUUAGGAGAGAUGUUCAGUUCAAUUCAACACUCUUUGAGAUUGACUAUCAUGUAUCAGGCACUGUAUUAAGUGCAAGAGUAAAAAGGCAUGGCCCUUCUUCUCAGAGAGCCCAUGGUCUAGUGAAGGAGUCAGAUGAGUAAGUAGAUAAUUAUGAAAUAUUGUGGUAAGUGCUAUGGAAGAAAUCUAAAGAACAGGUUAUAGAAAAGAGGAUGUCACAUCAGAGGCCACGACACUUAAACUGAGUCUUUCAGAAUGAAUGAGAAAUUAGGCAGAUGAAGACAGAGGGAAGGAUGUCCUAUGUGCCGUUAACGUGCAAAUCACAUACGCUUGGAUGUCUGAUACUUGGGCCGGUUAACUUCUCUGAACAUGACUUUCCAUAUCUUCAUUGAGUGUUUAUCACAAAACAUUGUGAGAAUUGCACGUGCAAAUGCAGGUAAAGAGGCUACUCAAUCCUGGUGCAUAGUCAUUUACAAAUAAGUUGGUUUCCACCAUGGCACACGUAUGCCUGUGUAACAAACCCACACAUUCUGUACUUGUAUCCGGAACUUAAAGUAAAAUAAAAAAUAAAAAUACAUAGAUUGUUUUUUUUUUAAGUGUUGAAAGCUGGGCUUUCAUUGCCAAAGAAGGCAAAUGUUGGUGUUUCAUAGCAGCUGAAUUUGCCAACCACCUACCCAGUGGUUAGGCUACUAAAGUGGAAAGUUUCAUUCCCAAUUAAUGCACCAUUUUUCUCAGAGACUUUGAACAGACAUGUUUUUGAUCCAUCAAAUCUUUCUGUCCUGGGGUUGUGUUUGGUUUUUAUUCCAAUUCUAAGGUCUGUCUGAACACGCUGUGCCUUGAGCCAUGUAGCACACAGAAGGACAAAUGAUUUCUUCUUAUUAUUCUUUUUAUUAACAAUUGAAGGGAAUAGUUAACAUUUAAGAAAAAAAAAGACUGACUUGAGAGAAACUUUUGGUUAUUUUCUAGUGAGGGAAAAAAAGCUCUAAAUGCAGUAUGUCAAUCUUGUUUCCUAGAUAACAAAGCAAAUCUAAAACAGUUUUGAACUUUUUUCCUUAUUCCCUUUAUCAUGAAUGUUUAAUAUCCAAAGGAGCCAAUUUUUGUUGAGAAUUAGCUUCCAGGUUUGGAGGCUAUUAGCAAUCACCACAGGGAGCCUCACACUCCAGUUCUAUUUCCCAUCCUUUUUCCUGAAUCAGAAUCAUUUUCUGUGUAGUUAUAGCAAGUGCCUCGGUUUUGCUAGCCUCAUCUGCUGUUUUUAAAUGUCAGCCUCUGCCAAGCUGAAACAUCAUGAAAGUAAUCAAAUUAUGUAUUAGGAAAGAGUAGAUCAUUGCUUCAAUAAACUUGCCAAAAUCAACAUGUGUAGCCAUCUAUACAUGUGGAAUGUCACUUUGAUCCCCCAUAGCUAUUUCAGUAAUGUCAUAAAUGUUCUCAUAAUCAUUUUAUAAUCAUAAUAUUAGUUAACUAUUACAUUUUAUCACUUAACUCGUGCUAAGCAUUUAGCUUGUAUUACCCACUUUACCUGUACAAUAGUUCUCUCAGGUAGAUGCUAGAGUGUUAUCCAGGUUAUUGUGAGGAAGCUAAGGCACAAGAAAUUAAGCAACUUGCCCAUUAGCCUACAGCUAACAGUCCUGGAUUCAUACCCAGGCCUGUGUGAUUCCAGAGCCCAUGCUCUUAAAUGCUAGGCUACACCUCCUUCUUUUUAUCCUUCUGUGAUCGUUAAAAAAGACAUGACAGUUGUUGCUGUAAACCAUAAUUUGAUGUCUUAUGAUAACACUUAACUAGCUUAUUGGUGGUUUUGUUUGUAAACAUUGAAAGUAAGCUUUAGCCAAUGCACACUUAAUCAGAUUUGUAUUCAGCAAGUGUGCUUUUGCUAAUAGUAAGCCAGACAUUGUAUCAGGCAUCAGGGUAAACAUACAUAUACAUAUGUAUAUGUCCCGACCUUGAGGAGGUCAUAUCUAGCUGGGGAAACUUACAAAUUGUACAUAAUCCAUUAUCCACAAUUCCAAAUUCCAAAAUGCUCUGAGAAAUGAAAUUUUUAAAAUAUGUAGACUCAUUUAGCCUAAUUCCUGAAUUCAUAUGAGGCCACAUUAUAUAUAGCCUUUGUUUGUACCUCUUAAUAUAAUUUUUCAUACAUGUGUUUGAUUAUGAGGUGCUACCCUAAGCUCUCCUGGCAUUGUUGCAUAAUACAUAGUAAAUGCCCUGAAAACCUUUCUAAAAUCUGAACUUUUUGAAUUCUGAAAUAUAUCUGGUCCUAAGAGUUUAGCAGAAGGGAUUGUGGCCAUACAUGAAUGGACAUGUUGUAGCCCAGCAAAAGGAAUGAUUUACUUCCCAUGAUUGAGUUAAAGAUUCACAGAAGAGGCUGCAGGCAGUGAAACUGGAAUUUACCAAAGUUGUUUUGGCAGCCUAGGCAGAACUGAAGUUACAGCCAAAGAUAUAGACUUAUAGAGAAUCUGGGGAGGGUAUACAUGGAAGACAGGACUGGAAAGGCAAGUUGGCACCAGAUUAUGGAAGGCCUCCCAUGUCACAGGAGAAUGCAUUCUUUUUCUAUCAACUGACAGGCUCUUUUCUGAUUUCCUUCAGCCUCAUUUGCUGUUGUACCUUGCUUUGUUGCAGUGUGUCAUGGAUCCAUUUGGAGAAGCUGAUGAGUCAUCUUGUGAAAGAAAAAAUGAAUUGAAGGACAUUGCUUACUUUCUGUGUUGAUUCAGGCCUCAUUUCAUCUUAACCCCCUAGUUAGAGGACAUCAGUAAUGAUUCAGUCUCUGCAACUCAUUCCUAAAUAAAAUUAAUUGGAAAGUA